UGGGGAAUAUUGCACAAUGGGCGCAAGCCUGAUGCAGCGACGCCGCGUGAGGGAUGACGGCCUUCGGGUUGUAAACCUCUUUCAACGCCGACGAAGCGUAAGUGACGGUAGGCGUAGAAGAAGCACCGGCCAACUACGUGCCAGCAGCCGCGGUAAUACGUAGGGUGCGAGCGUUGUCCGGAAUUACUGGGCGUAAAGAGCUCGUAGGUGGUUUGUCGCGUUGUUCGUGAAAACUCACAACUCAAUUGUGGGCGUGCGGGCGAUACGGGCAGACUGGAGUACUGCAGGGGAGACUGGAAUUCCUGGUGUAGCGGUGGAAUGCGCAGAUAUCAGGAGGAACACCGGUGGCGAAAGGCGGGUCGUCUGGGCAGUAACUGACGCUGAGGAGCGAAAGCGUGGGGAGCGAACAGGAUUAGAUACCCUGGUAGUCCACGCCGUAAACGGUGGGUACUAGGUGUGGGUUUCCUUCCUUGGGAUCCGUGCCGUAGCUAACGCAUUAAGUACCCCGCCG
RNAcentral lists this ribosomal RNA (511 nucleotides) under uncultured Actinomycetes bacterium. Its description in RNAcentral is "bacterial SSU rRNA". It matches the Rfam family "Bacterial small subunit ribosomal RNA", at positions 355 to 873 of the family's 1533-position model. The record is from RNAcentral. Lineage: Bacteria; Bacillati; Actinomycetota; Actinomycetes.